GACAGAGGGGGCAAGCGUUGCUCGGAAUUACUGGGCGUAAAGAGCUCGUAGGUGGUUUGUCGCGUUGUCCGUGAAAACUCACAACUCAAUUGUGGGCGUGCGGGCGAUACGGGCAGACUGGAGUACUGCAGGGGAGACUGGAAUUCCUGGUGUAGCGGUGGAAUGCGCAGAUAUCAGGAGGAACACCGGUGGCGAAGGCGGGUCUCUGGGCAGUAACUGACGCUGAGGAGCGAAAGCGUGGGGAGCGAACAGG
RNAcentral lists this ribosomal RNA (253 nucleotides) under uncultured bacterium. RNAcentral's name for it is "partial 16S ribosomal RNA". It matches the Rfam family "Bacterial small subunit ribosomal RNA", at positions 524 to 776 of the family's 1533-position model. The record is from RNAcentral.